UAGCCAUUUCCAGGAUAUCCUCCACAGGUGAAUCCAGAAAAUGUAUCCCCUCCCCCUCCAGAAAAUCCAGGAAAUGCUACCGCACUUCCUCCGGGAAAUCCAGGAAAUGAAACUCAAUCUUCCCAGAUAGAACCUACCCCUCAACCCUAAGAAGCAUCACAAAGCUGAACAUCUCAUCCAGGAAAACACAGAUUUGCAACCUGAAGAUGCUGAAAAACAAUGACAACACCAGCUUCUAUGAUUUCCAGCCAGACAUCACACAUUUUUCUUACUAAUCUAAACAAUGGAGAGUCUGAUGUAGUUCUUAUUUUGAUUUUGGGUGCCUUUACUGAAUCUUAUGGUAGAGGAUUCCAGGGAGAUAUAAAUUUUGAAGAAAUAAAAAUAAAAAUACA
Molecule: non-coding RNA, 392 nt
Organism: Anolis sagrei ordinatus
Lineage: Eukaryota; Metazoa; Chordata; Lepidosauria; Squamata; Anolidae
Source: RefSeq, a predicted model, not a curated record